This 198-nucleotide ribosomal RNA is filed under the name Cacopsylla araliae. RNAcentral describes it as "partial 28S ribosomal RNA". The record is from RNAcentral. Lineage: Eukaryota; Metazoa; Arthropoda; Insecta; Hemiptera; Psyllidae.
GUCGGACGCCGGGGCCCCGCAGCGAAGACGAUCGAGCGACCGUCAAACGCCACCGACGAGAAAACCCGACCCCGACUCGGCGCGGCGAGUCGCGACUACUGCGGCGAGGAAAAGUCCGGCCGGACGGACCGGCGGCCGAGAGCACGCCCGACACGAGUCCUCCGACGCGUCUCGUUCGAACUUACCCACGGUACUUCG